RNAcentral lists this ribosomal RNA (553 nucleotides) under Bifidobacterium bifidum. RNAcentral's name for it is "bacterial SSU rRNA". It matches the Rfam family "Bacterial small subunit ribosomal RNA", at positions 146 to 711 of the family's 1533-position model. Lineage: Bacteria; Bacillati; Actinomycetota; Actinomycetes; Bifidobacteriales; Bifidobacteriaceae. The record is from RNAcentral.
UCUCCUGGAAACGGGUGGUAAUGCCGGAUGUUCCACAUGAUCGCAUGUGAUUGUGGGAAAGAUUUCAUCGGCGUGGGAUGGGGUCGCGUCCUAUCAGCUUGUUGGUGAGGUAACGGCUCACCAAGGCUUCGACGGGUAGCCGGCCUGAGAGGGCGACCGGCCACAUUGGGACUGAGAUACGGCCCAGACUCCUACGGGAGGCAGCAGUGGGGAAUAUUGCACAAUGGGCGCAAGCCUGAUGCAGCGACGCCGCGUGAGGGAUGGAGGCCUUCGGGUUGUAAACCUCUUUUGUUUGGGAGCAAGCCUUCGGGUGAGUGUACCUUUCGAAUAAGCGCCGGCUAACUACGUGCCAGCAGCCGCGGUAAUACGUAGGGCGCAAGCGUUAUCCGGAUUUAUUGGGCGUAAAGGGCUCGUAGGCGGCUCGUCGCGUCCGGUGUGAAAGUCCAUCGCUUAACGGUGGAUCUGCGCCGGGUACGGGCGGGCUGGAGUGCGGUAGGGGAGACUGGAAUUCCCGGUGUAACGGUGGAAUGUGUAGAUAUCGGGAAGAACACCA